RNAcentral lists this long non-coding RNA (232 nucleotides) under Gallus gallus (chicken). The record is from RNAcentral. Lineage: Eukaryota; Metazoa; Chordata; Aves; Galliformes; Phasianidae.
ACCAUCUCUUUGCGCUGCUCCUACGUCCCCCCCGGGCAGGUGGCAGCGGGGAAUGCCACAUCCCAGCGGUCAGAAGGAAUGGCACCGUCCCUGUCCCCUCCACGUCCCACCCCAGUGCAGGGGACAGCCAUCGGGAUGGCACCGCGCCGCCACCCCAAACCUGCGGCGGGGAAGAAGGAGGAUUUCCAGGUGCGGGUCAGGGUCCUCGAGGGCCACCAGCUGCAGGGCAGUG